GUCUCUUUGUAUAACAUAAAUAAAGAGUUGGGCCUGCUCGGUGAAUAUUUUUUUUAACAGCUGCGGUAUUUUAACUGUACUAAGGUAGCAUAAUAAUUUGCCUUAUAAUUUGAGGCUAGAAUGAAUGGUUUGACGAAGGUUAAGCUGUCUCCAUUUUAUUUUUUAGAAUUUAAUUUUUAAAGUGAAAAAGCUUAAAUUUUUUAAAGGGACGAGAAGACCCUAAUGAGCUUGUAAUUUUAUUAUUAUUGUUUAAUAUAUUUAAAUAGUAAUAUAUAAAUUUUAAUUGGGGUGAUUGAGGAAUAAAUUGUGGUAGUAACUUCCUUAAACUUAAUAUAGAUGUAUCAAGUAACCAAUAAUAUAUUGCUUAUAAUAUAGUUACCAUAGGGAUAACAGCGUAAUUUGUUUAGAGAGUUCUUAUUGAAAAACAAGAUUGCGACCUCGAUGUUGGAUUAAAGUAACCUUAAGGUGCAGAAGCUUUAAUAGGUAAAUCUGUUCGAUUUUUAAUACUUUACA
This 513-nucleotide ribosomal RNA is filed under the name Ornithoteuthis antillarum. Its description in RNAcentral is "partial 16S ribosomal RNA". It matches the Rfam family "Bacterial large subunit ribosomal RNA", at positions 1816 to 2600 of the family's 2925-position model. The record is from RNAcentral. Lineage: Eukaryota; Metazoa; Mollusca; Cephalopoda; Oegopsida; Ommastrephidae.